Melanotaenia boesemani (Boeseman's rainbowfish) is the source of this 276-nucleotide long non-coding RNA. RefSeq lists it as uncharacterized. NCBI's taxonomy places the organism in Eukaryota, Metazoa, Chordata, Actinopteri, Atheriniformes, Melanotaeniidae. The transcript is spliced from 4 exons. The record is from RefSeq and is a predicted model, not a curated record.
GUGGGAUUAUGUGGUAAUUGACUUUUUUUUUCAUAAACCUGUUAUGUUAUCCACUUGUUUGACUUUGUUUUUUAUGUUUAUAUUAGACAAGUGGCAAACAGCAUCAGCAAUGGAGGUUGGAAAGAAAAGACUGGGAGUGAUUUUGAGAACUUUCCUGUGCAAACAAACUCCAACCCCUGUGGCGUCUUCAUGCUUAUGUCUGCCCUCAGCAUUUGCACGGACACACCAUUUGACUUUACAGAAAGUGACAUGCCAGCCAUCCGCAGGUGGUGGUGU